GUAACGAGCGCGACCCUUGUCCUUAGUUACCAGCACGUUAUGUGGGCACUCUAAGGAGACUGCCGGUGACAAACCGGAGGAAGGUGGGGAUGACGUCAAGUCAUCAUGGCCCUUACGGCCUGGGCUACACACGUGCUACAAUGGUCGGUACAAAGGGUUGCCAAGCCGCGAGGUGGAGCUAAUCCCAUAAAACCGAUCGUAGUCCGGAUCGCAGUCUGCAACUCGACUGCGUGAAGUCGGAAUCGCUAGUAAUCGUGAAUCAGAAUGUCACGGUGAAUACGUUCCCGGGCCUU
Molecule: ribosomal RNA, 293 nt
Filed under: uncultured Pseudomonas sp.
Lineage: Bacteria; Pseudomonadati; Pseudomonadota; Gammaproteobacteria; Pseudomonadales; Pseudomonadaceae
Description: partial 16S ribosomal RNA
Rfam family: Bacterial small subunit ribosomal RNA
Source: RNAcentral